RNAcentral lists this ribosomal RNA (369 nucleotides) under uncultured soil bacterium. RNAcentral's name for it is "bacterial SSU rRNA". It matches the Rfam family "Bacterial small subunit ribosomal RNA", at positions 26 to 396 of the family's 1533-position model. The record is from RNAcentral.
AGAUUGAACGCUGGCGGCAGGCCUAACACAUGCAAGUCGAGCGGUAGAGAGGUGCUUGCAUCUCUUGAGAGCGGCGGACGGGUGAGUAAUGCCUAGGAAUCUGCCUAGUGGUGGGGGAUAACGUUCGGAAACGGACGCUAAUACCGCAUACGUCCUACGGGAGAAGCGGGGGACCUUCGGGCCUCGCGCCAUUAGAUGAGCCUAGGUCGGAUUAGCUAGUUGGUGAGGUAAUGGCUCACCAAGGCGACGAUCCGUAACUGGUCUGAGAGGAUGAUCAGUCACACUGGAACUGAGACACGGUCCAGACUCCGUACGGGAGCAGCGAGGUGGGAAUGUUAGGACAAGUGGGACAAAGCCUAGACUACCGAG